CCUCCACUAACUAACCGGACAGACUCACAAAGGACCAACCCGCAGGUCUACUACAGAUGCUGGUGCUUGGGUAGCACCCACAUUUACAUUUUCUAAUUGCAUCUUUCUCUAAUUCCUCACCAUGACAGGGAGGGGCUGGUUUCUGAGACAAUAAACUAAUGCAAUGGUUCUCAACCUCUGUAGACGCAAGGCACCCCUUUGUUAGGCUCCAGAUACCCUCAAAAAUGCCAUCUCUUAAUUUUCACUUAUUUUUCAACCAUUGAAAAAAAACAGAGCAAUAAUUCUGUCAGAAAGAACUCCAAGAGACCACAACAGGACACCAUGUUUUUACACAAGAAUGUCAGCAGUGCCAGACUGGCUCAGACCAAUGGUGCAUCUAGCCCAGUAUCCCGUCUCCAGCAGUGGCAGGACUAGAUACUAGAGGAAGAGCAUUGAACUGGACAGAUCUAGAGUGAUCUCUCCCUGGCAUCCACAACUAUUGGAUGAGAGAAGCCAAAGGAAACUUCUCCACCCGUUUUGCUAAAUAGCCAAUAAUAGAUUGAGCAUGCAUGAAUCUGUCAGGCCUCAUAGUGUUUCUG
Gavialis gangeticus (Gharial) is the source of this 578-nucleotide long non-coding RNA. RefSeq lists it as uncharacterized. The record is from RefSeq and is a predicted model, not a curated record. The transcript has 3 exons. NCBI's taxonomy places the organism in Eukaryota, Metazoa, Chordata, Crocodylia, Gavialidae.